Sycon ciliatum is the source of this 1319-nucleotide long non-coding RNA. RefSeq lists it as uncharacterized. The transcript is spliced from 3 exons. The record is from RefSeq and is a predicted model, not a curated record. NCBI's taxonomy places the organism in Eukaryota, Metazoa, Porifera, Calcarea, Leucosolenida, Sycettidae.
ACCGGAUGCACCUCGUAGAAAACCACCAGCAAAGAAACUUGCAAACAGACCAGUGAGGGACACUGCACAUACGCAGAAAGUCCUUUUCCCAAAGAUUACUCAGCCACCUAAGAAGGCCUCAACUCAGCAGUCAGAAAAACACUCCAAACACCGGCUUGUUCUGCCCAACAUUCACGCAGCGAAAGACAGCAGCACCGGAAGCAGCAUCAGCAGCGGCCACUCCAGCGUGCACACAUCCACGCAUGGCAACACCGGAAGCAGCAGUAGUGGCUUUUAAAGUGGAGCAAAAAUGUUAGCUCCUAGCGUUGGAAAUUGAGUGGCUAGCGGCGGAAAUUCCUCAGACUAUUGGUAAACUGGUGCAUACAACAGCAAAUGAAGAACUUUACUUAAAGAUAUCUGGAGGAGAGGUAAAUGCCGUGGGUAGAAGUUGCUCCCCAUCUUUCAAGCGCGUGCGUAUUCUCUAUGGACAGCUUUGCGUGGUCCUAGCUUUCAUACUAUGCUUUUCCUUCUACGUCUGCAUGCGACACACUGCCGACGAGUGCAGUGCAGUGGGUGUUGCAAAAGUCACUGAGAAUGUCACCUAAGCAGUCUUGUACCUGUUUUUCGUUUAUAUGGCCAGACAUCCAGACUAGCGUAGAUCAGCGAUGCUGCAGUCGACGGCCGUGUGUGAAAUUGAACCUGUGGUACUGCUUGUAGUGACAUGUAGAACCAGGUCUAGCAUUCUAUAGUCGUUUCUCGAAUGACUCCUCAUAGUACAUGUUCCACUCAAAAGUCAAUAAAUUAUCAUUUUUGCCACUCAGCUCGCUUCCUUUUAUGGGAGUGAGUUGUGUCAUCGAUAACCAUCUAUUUGACACGUCUCGCCAGAGGUACAGGCACAAACUUGCAGACUGUUAUUGGAGGUAUGGAAAUGUGUCGUCCACUGAGCGGCGCUCAUUUCACUGUCGUGUAUCCCUCUCAGCAACUGCGUGAAUGCGAGUUCCUAUCUAGAGCGCGCUGCCAUGACAAUCACCCAGUCCGACGUUACACCUAUCAUUACGAGUAGUCUUGACACGCUAUAUCGAGGAGUUGCUGAUCCAGACCUUUUUCUCCUCCCAAGUUGUUGGUCCAGACCUUUCUGGUUUAUUGGGAAUGUUUCAAGUUUACACGCUCACUUCUUUUUUGUUUUGUUUCCUCUUCCCCUGUCAUUUUAGAAAUUGUCGCUAACGGCUUAACUAUCAACAUGUAAUGAGAAAUGUUGUACACUGUUCUCUUUGACUUUAAGCUGUGGGGUUCCAAGUAACAAAACACUAUUACAGGUAGUAGGUAACACGAGUACAUGU